GGCGGUCCGCGGGCGCGCAGGGGACGCCGACUCCCGCCUGUUGGCUCGGCGUCUCCGCGGGGACAGCACGGGGGGCAGCGCCGGUCGCGGGAGCGCGCAGGGGUUCGGGCGCGGUCCCCGCCCGCAGCGCGACGCCGAUGGGUGUGACGCGCGCGGCGGCGGCGCUCCCCCUGCGCCGGCGGGGAGGCGGCCCUGCGCCCUGACCGGCGCUGUGCCGGCUCCGCGCGGCGGGGACACGGGCUCCGCGGGCGGCCCGGCGCUCCGGGGGUGGCAACGCCCGCGGUGCGCGGCGCGGAGGCGGAUCGGUAGCGCCGGAGCGCGCUGCGCAGGGCACGGCACGGCACGGCGAUGUAGGGGACAUGCCCUGACGGGACGGCGAACGGACGGGCGCCGCCUACGAGGGGGAGCAGCGCCAGCGGAGCCGCCCGCGGGCGGAUCGGCAGCAGCCGGCGAGGCCCCCGGGCUCCGCCGCGAUGGCUGGGCCCGGGCUCUGGACGAGCAUCAAGUCCCUGCUGCGGAGAAGCGAGGACCCCUUGUUCCUGAACGACUCCAGUGCCUUUGACUUCUCGGACGAGGCGGGGGACGAGGACUUCCCUCGGUUUAACAAGCUGCGGGUGGUGGUGUCAGACGACGCCUCGGAGGCGGCCCCGGAGACGCCGGUGGCCGGGGCGCCCCUAGGCCUGCCCUCCGACGACGAGUCCCUGCUGGAGCGGGCCGGAGCCCGCCCCGGCCGGCCGGCCCCCUGCGGCGGCUGCAGCAGCCGGCGGGAGCGCUCCAGGCAGAGGACGGUGAAGAAGCGGCUGACGCUCGCUGCCCUCCUCUACCUCCUCUUCAUGACCGGGGAGCUCGUAGGUGGAUAUGUUGCUAACAGUCUAGCAAUUAUGACAGAUGCACUUCAUAUGUUAACUGACCUUAGCGGUAUUAUUUUGACCCUGCUUGCCCUCUGGCUGUCUGCAAAAUCUCCCACAAAGAGGUUCACUUUUGGAUUUCAUCGCUUAGAAGUAUUGUCUGCCAUCAUUAGUGUAUUGCUGGUCUAUAUCCUUAUGGCAUUCCUCUUGUAUGAAGCCGUUCAAAGAACUAUCCAUAUGGACUAUGAAAUAAAUGGCGAUAUCAUGCUGAUUACAGCAGCCGUUGGUGUUGCAGUUAACUUAAUAAUGGGUUUUUUGCUGAAUCAGUCUGGCCACCUUCACUCCCACUCCCAUUCCCACCCUCACUCUCACGUACCUCAGUCGAACUCUCCUAACACAGCCCACAGCAGCAGCCACGGGCACAGCAGCCUUGCCGUGAGAGCAGCGUUUGUACAUGCCCUUGGGGACCUGGUACAAAGCAUUGGUGUGCUCGUGGCUGCAUACAUCAUUCGCUUUAAGCCAGAAUACAAGAUUGCUGAUCCUAUAUGUACAUAUGUAUUCUCCAUACUGGUGGUUUUGACAACAGUUCGAAUUCUGUGUGACACAGGAGUUAUUAUUCUGGAAGGUACUGUUGUAUUACUUGUGUGCUUCUACUGUUGCCGUAGGUGAAGCUACAGGUAAAAGAGUGGUGUAAAGAGGAAUAAGGAAAAAAAGGGAAGAAAAAGCUGAACACAAGCUAAAGCAUGUUGUCUCAUGUGGUGACUUAGAAGGAAAGAUGCCAGCAUUAUUUGCAUUAUCACAGCUAACAUGCCAACUACUACUGCUUGAUCUAGUACUUUUACCUUAUGAAAGUGAAGGUGUUAGGGAUGGGAGAAAAAUCCUCGGUUUCAGUUGCCUCUUCCUAGCUGUCUCAUGUGAGCUAUUAUUGACUUGACUUUUAUUAUGUUACAAGGUUUAACCAAGAACCUCAAAAUCUUCACUGUCGAGUGCUUUUGGUGUCAUGUAGGAGGGAAAAAAAAAAACCAAACCCACAACAAUCUAACCAAGCUAAAUGGUGAAAUUUGCUUAAGAAACCUCAGUGAGCUCCAAGGCAAUAGCUAAGAUUUAUGUGAAGAAAACAGAUAAGACAAAAUAAUAGUGUGUCAAAUUCCAGAUGUUGUCAGUUGUAGCUGUUUGCAUAGGUAUGCCGGUUGUCAUAAGAUCUUCAAAUUAAUGAUGUUAUUAAAAGCGAUGGUAGGUAGGCUGUAUGUAUGCUAGGGAAUUUUUUCAACUCAAAUUCAGGAUUUCCAGAGAAGAGACUUGCAUUUAUUGGAGACUGCUACUACAACAUCAAGGUCCUUGCACUUGUAUCAGCUUUCAGUAUUAAUUUUAAGUUUCAUCAUUAUACUAGGAAUGCUAAAUUAAAAACUUAAAUGAUUAUCUAAUAAAAGCAACAAGAUUCUAGCUUUUAAUAUAUAUUUAUAAGGCAGCAUGAAAGUCUGAAGAUGCUGAAUUUUCAAAAGAGAUGAUACUGGAACUAUCAUGAUUUAAAAACAGUGAAGUAGCAAGUUCAGAGAGGAGUCACUUCAGAAAUUCUGAAGGAAAUUGAGAAGCAAGUGGCUGAACACCUCAUGGCAUAUAUAAUCAAACUCCAUAAAACUGGAAGAUAAGCAGUAAAAGAUAAGAUAGAAACAAAACUAUUUGGAAAGAAGAGUUUAUUCAGUACUUUUGUACUAGUUUUUGACCCAUGUCAAUCAUUUGAAAUUUUGAUUCUGCCCUUUGUACAGAUGAAGGGUGGAGGAGGGAAGUUAUAGAGGUGCUGUAGCUGCUGAAACUACUACAUCCAGAAGGACUUGGUCAGUGCAAUCAUUGAUGUGCAAAGAUGCCACACUGUAAGACGAAAGUCGUAUGUGUUAACCACUGCAGAUGGAUUACUAUGAGCGUUUGAAAAUGAUACCAGGUACCUGAAGAGAGAAGUUUCAGGACACAGGCCCUAGCAUGUUGGUUUUCUAGAUUCUGACCUUAGAGUCUGGUCUAAGCAGUUACGAGGGGUUAGAAGCUGCAGUAAUAUUGUCUACAUAAGUACAUCGCACCAAAGGAUCUAAUGCUGGCUAUUGCCAGAAGUUCUGCACAGGACAAAUUAUGUUUAAGACAAUACUGCAGUUACUGUCCAACUUCUGUAUCCAUAUUUGACAAUAUGCCAAUUUGCAUAUUCUUCUCUAUUGAUAACUUAGAAGUUACUGAUCACUUCACCAGCACAAAUUAUAAACUCUUUUGAGAUCUGUCAUGACAUUUUAAAGGCCACUAAGAGUUUGCAGAAGACAGAAUUAAUUCUAUCUCAUGUUUGGUAUCACAGGAGUUCCAAGGCAUUUAAAUGUGGAUCGCAUUAAAGAAGACUUGAUGAAAAUUGAAGACGUUUAUUCUAUAGAAGACUUAAAUGUUUGGUCUCUCACUGCUGGAAAAACAACUGCCAUAGUCCACUUGCAACUAGUUCCUGGUAGUUCAUCUAAAUGGGAGGAAGUUCAGUCCAAGGCUCGACAACUGCUGCUGAACACAUUUGGAAUGUACAAGUGCUCUGUCCAGCUUCAGAGUUACAAACAGGAAAUGAGCAAAACCUGUGCAAGUUGUCAGAGUUCCAGUGCCUAAUUUCAUAUGUUUUGGGAACUGCUGCCUUAUUCUUUAUCUUGUAGUCAAAGACUGAGAGCAAUAAAUGCAAAACGAAAAUGAUGAAAUAGACACCAUUAAUAUGUGGAUUUGUACCAUGUAACAUGCAGCAGGGAGAACUGGUGCUGCAGAAAGUGCAGUGGUUGCCCUACAGAACAUGUAUUUCACUCUCUCCCUUGUACUGUUUAUUCAAGUUAUGAUGAUUUGGAGACAAAGCUGUUUUCAGAUUAUUGUUUACAAACUGCAACAUGGCUCUGCAGAUACCUCACAAAUUACAGUCCCAUAUUGUCCUUGAAUAACUAUGUACCACAAAGUACCUGCACUCCAAAUGGAGCAUCGAGUAUUCAGUAUUUCAGUUCAAGUCUCUAAUGCUGAUCAUGCCAGGACUCCAUAUGUCAUGAUCCCUGAAAUCAUUAUACAGUAUUUUUGCAAUAGUAAUUUUCAUACAGUAUCUUAAGACUAUAAUGCAUACAGUGUUAGUUGAAUUCUUUUGGAAACUGUCUCUUUGGAGACACUGCAAAAUACAGCAUUUACUGUAUCCAGACCAGAAAGUUAGCUUUAAUCUGGGCAUUCAGAGAUCCAGACAGAAAGAUCCUUGCCCAGACUUCUGGUAUUUAACUAGAGACCCAACACUGGACCCAAAGUGUUUUAAGUGAUCAGUUAUCUUUAAUGUAUUUUAGAAUAGGGUUUAUACAUUAGAAACAGGUUAUUUAUUUUACAGAGUUUUGACUUGUAAGAUGAAUUUGUUAUUAAUGAUCUUGAAUGUCUAAACCAACAUUUGAUUGACAUUAAAAGGCCAGUUGAUUAGCAUACCUUCUAUUAUAAUUAAUAAAUGUCCUGUAAUCGAUUAUUUUUCCAAGAUCAUUUUGAAAGAAAAGUCAAAUGACAGAAACUAUGCUUGACAUGGAGAUACGCUAAAACACAAUCAACAGACAUGCAAAAUACAUCUAACAGGAAAGCGAGAGCAGAAGUUUUAGAUAUGUACUAUUCCCUCAGUCACAGAUAUCUCUGACCUUUUCAACUUUGCUUUGAGCACACUAUGGCAGUAUCCUGACAGGAAUGCCACUGCAAUAACAGUCCCCACUACUUAGCUUUAUUCAUAAAGCAAAAUCCAAGCAAGCUCAGUAACCUAAUGGUGUUGGACAAAAAUAUCAUAACAACCAACAGAGGUAGAAAGGCCUUUUCUUAUUUACAGAAGAAUGAGGCAAUUUGAAGACUAUUUAUUCAUCCGGACACCUCAAAAUCUGCAAAACUGAAUUUCUUCACCUCACGGUGGAAUCCCUGUACUCCAAAUGUACAUAGGAUAACCAAACCUGACACCAUGCUAUCAUACACGUUGAAACGCAGAUCUGCGCCUGCUUCUGAAGUCAUUUAUGUUGAAGAAGCUAAGGGCAACAAGAAUACGACCUGCAAAGUUCAGAAGAUGGGAGGAACUUGGCUUCAGAGAUUUUUUGCUUAUUCUGUACUUUGGUCUUUAUGCAGAACUUCCACUGACAUCAAAAGUAGUUCUCUGUGUGGAUCAGAAAGGAAAAUUUUUGCCCAGUGAUGGAUAUUGUGAUAUUCAGCUGUGAAUACUUAAGCUAUUGUCUGUUUUGAAACUUGCUAGGGUUUCACAUACUCAUCAGGCUGAUCUGUACCUGCAAUUUGGAGUAACAGUCCUGGCUUCUUGUCUUUCCUUAUUUGAGGUAGGGGUCACACGAUGACUUUUUAUGGGUGAAAACUGACAGCACAGUAUUAAUUUGGACAAAGUGCAUGUAACACUGGAUUAUGUUUAUAUCUGUUCUGGCAAGAAAUGGGAACAUUUGAGUACAGCAUGGGAGCACAUACAGCUCAGAGGCCAAGUACCACCCGUACUUGGGAAGUUAAUGCUUCAGUACAAACACCAUCAUUCAUUAAGCCAUAUCACAGUUUAUGAAGAAUGUGCAUCCCAUCCUUACA
RNA transcript from Strigops habroptila (Kakapo), 5429 nucleotides. It is a transcript of the gene named solute carrier family 30 member 4, with no coding region annotated. The transcript has 7 exons. The record is from RefSeq and is a predicted model, not a curated record. Lineage: Eukaryota; Metazoa; Chordata; Aves; Psittaciformes; Psittacidae.